Molecule: ribosomal RNA, 404 nt
Filed under: uncultured bacterium
Lineage: Bacteria
Description: bacterial SSU rRNA
Rfam family: Bacterial small subunit ribosomal RNA
Source: RNAcentral
UGGGGAAUAUUGCACAAUGGGGGAAACCCUGAUGCAGCAACGCCGCGUGAGUGAAGAAGGCCUUCGGGUUGUAAAGCUCUGUUGAAGGGGAAGAUAAUGACGGUACCCUUCGAGGAAGCCACGGCUAACUACGUGCCAGCAGCCGCGGUAAUACGUAGGUGGCGAGCGUUGUCCGGAUUUACUGGGCGUAAAGGAUGCGUAGGCGGAUUAUUAAGUCAGAUGUGAAAUACCCGAGCUUAACUUGGGAGCUGCAUUUGAAACUGGUAGUCUGGAGUGCAGGAGAGGUAAGUGGAAUUCCUAGUGUAGCGGUGAAAUGCGUAGAGAUUAGGAAGAACACCAGUGGCGAAGGCGACUUACUGGACUGUAACUGACGCUGAGGCAUGAAAGCGUGGGGAGCAAACAGG